AGUGAACGCUGGCGGUAGGCCUAACACAUGCAAGUCGAACGGCAGCACAGUAAGAGCUUGCUCUUACGGGUGGCGAGUGGCGGACGGGUGAGGAAUACAUCGGAAUCUACUUUUUCGUGGGGGAUAACGUAGGGAAACUUACGCUAAUACCGCAUACGACCUACGGGUGAAAGCAGGGGAUCUUCGGACCUUGCGCGAUUGAAGGAGCCGAUGUCGGAUUAGCUAGUUGGCGGGGUAAAGGCCCACCAAGGCGACGAUCCGUAGCUGGUGUGAGAGGAUGAUAAGCCACACUGGAACUGGGCCACGGUCCAGACUACUACGGGAGGCAGCAGUGGGGAAUAUUGGACAAUGGGCGCAAGCCUGAUCCAGCCAUACCGCGUGGGUGACGAAGGCCUUCGGGUUGUAAAGACCUUUUGUUGGGAAAGAAAAGCAGCAGGUUAAUACCCCGCUGUUCUGACGGUACCCAAAGAAUAAGCACCGGCUAACUUCGUG
Molecule: ribosomal RNA, 492 nt
Filed under: uncultured bacterium
Lineage: Bacteria
Description: partial 16S ribosomal RNA
Rfam family: Bacterial small subunit ribosomal RNA
Source: RNAcentral